This 253-nucleotide ribosomal RNA is filed under the name uncultured bacterium. Its description in RNAcentral is "partial 16S ribosomal RNA". It matches the Rfam family "Bacterial small subunit ribosomal RNA", at positions 524 to 776 of the family's 1533-position model. The record is from RNAcentral.
UACGAAGGGUGCAAACGUUGCUCGGAAUUAUUGGGCGUAAAGCGCACGUAGGCGGCUUAGCAAGUUGGAUGUGAAAUCCCUCGGCUCAACCAAGGAAGUGCAUCCAAAACUGCUGAGCUUGAGUACUUAAGAGGAUCGCGGAAUUCCCGGUGUAGAGGUGAAAUUCGUAGAUAUCUGGAGGAACACCGGUGGCGAAGGCGGCAUCCUGGACCGGUAUUGACGCUGAGGCGCGAAAGCCAGGGGAGCAAACGGG